UACGAAGGGGGCAAGCGUUGUUCGGAGUUACUGGGCGUAAAGGGCGUGUAGGCGGUUUAUCAAGUCAGGCGUGAAAGCCCCGGGCUCAACUCGGGAACUGCGUUUGGGACUGAUAGGCUAGAGGACAGGAGAGGUGCGUGGAAUUCCCAGUGUAGAGGUGAAAUUCGUAGAGAUUGGGAAGAACACCGGUGGCGAAGGCGGCGCACUGGCCUGUUUCUGACGCUGAGGCGCGAAAGCAUGGGGAGCAAACAGG
This 253-nucleotide ribosomal RNA is filed under the name uncultured bacterium. RNAcentral's name for it is "partial 16S ribosomal RNA". It matches the Rfam family "Bacterial small subunit ribosomal RNA", at positions 524 to 776 of the family's 1533-position model. The record is from RNAcentral.